GGGGAUUUAGCUCAGCGGCAUAAGCGCCUGCCUUGCAAGCGGGCAAUUGUGAGUUCAAUCCCCG
Molecule: transfer RNA, 64 nt
Filed under: Cavia porcellus (domestic guinea pig)
Lineage: Eukaryota; Metazoa; Chordata; Mammalia; Rodentia; Caviidae
Rfam family: tRNA
About the family: Transfer RNA (tRNA) molecules are approximately 80 nucleotides in length. Their secondary structure includes four short double-helical elements and three loops (D, anti-codon, and T loops).
Source: Rfam by way of RNAcentral